UACGUAGGGUGCAAGCGUUAAUCGGAAUUACUGGGCGUAAAGCGUGCGCAGGCGGUUUUGUAAGUCUGUCGUGAAAUCCCCGGGCUCAACCUGGGAACUGCCUUUGUGACUGCAUAGCUAGAGUACGGUAGAGGGGGAUGGAAUUCCGCGUGUAGCAGUGAAAUGCGUAGAUAUGCGGAGGAACACCGAUGGCGAAGGCAAUCCCCUGGACCUGUACUGACGCUCAUGCACGAAAGCGUGGGGAGCAAACAGG
This 253-nucleotide ribosomal RNA is filed under the name uncultured bacterium. RNAcentral describes it as "partial 16S ribosomal RNA". It matches the Rfam family "Bacterial small subunit ribosomal RNA", at positions 524 to 776 of the family's 1533-position model. The record is from RNAcentral.